CCUACGGGUGGCUGCAGUCGAGAAUCAUUCGCAAUGGGCGAAAGCCUGACGAUGCGACGCCGUGUGAGCGAAGAAGGCCUUAGGGUCGUAAAGCUCUUUCGCCUGGGAACAAGAGAAGUCGGCUAAUAUCCGGCGGAUUUGAGGGUACUAGGUAAAGAAGCACCGGCUAACUCCGUGCCAGCAGCUGCGGUAAUACGGAGGGUGCAAGCAUUGAUCGGGGUUAUUGUGCGUAAAGGGCGUGGUGACGGGGGAAAUCCUGGGGCUCAACCUCAGAACUGCAUUUGAAACUGUAUCUCUCGAGGGUAGGCGGAGAAAACGGAAUUCCACAAGUAGCGGUGAAAUGCGUAGAUAUGUGGAAGAACACCGGUGGCGAAGGCGGUUUUCUAGCUUAUUCCUGACGCUGAGGCGCGAAAGCAAGGGGAUCAAACAGGAUUAGAUACCCCAGUAGUC
RNAcentral lists this ribosomal RNA (450 nucleotides) under uncultured bacterium. RNAcentral describes it as "partial 16S ribosomal RNA". It matches the Rfam family "Bacterial small subunit ribosomal RNA", at positions 338 to 795 of the family's 1533-position model. The record is from RNAcentral.